GACGAACGCUGGCGGCGUGCUUAACACAUGCAAGUCGAACGGAAAGGCCCUGCUUUUGUGGGGUGCUCGAGUGGCGAACAGGUGAGUAACACGUGAGUGACCUGCCCUUGUCUUUGGGAUACCUUCAGGGAACUGGGGCUAAUACCGGAUAUGAACUCCUGCUGCAUGGUUUUUGUUGGUGAGUUUCGGCGUUUGGGGAUGGACUUGCGGCUUAUCAGCUUGUUGGUGGGGUAGUGGCUUACCAGGGCUUUGACGGGUAGCCGGCUUGAGAGGGUGACCGGCCACAUUGGGACUGAGAUACGGGCCAGAGUGCUACGGGAGGAAGCAGUGGGGAAUAUUGCACAAUGGGCGGCAUCCUGAUGCAGCAACGCCGCGUGCGGGAUGACGGCCUUCGGGUUGGAAACCGCUUUCGCCUGUGACGAAGCGUGAGUGACGGUAAUGGGUAAAGAAGCACCGGCUAACUACGUG
This 468-nucleotide ribosomal RNA is filed under the name uncultured bacterium. RNAcentral's name for it is "partial 16S ribosomal RNA". It matches the Rfam family "Bacterial small subunit ribosomal RNA", at positions 28 to 507 of the family's 1533-position model. The record is from RNAcentral.